RNAcentral lists this ribosomal RNA (639 nucleotides) under Brevibacterium linens. RNAcentral's name for it is "bacterial SSU rRNA". It matches the Rfam family "Bacterial small subunit ribosomal RNA", at positions 64 to 706 of the family's 1533-position model. Lineage: Bacteria; Bacillati; Actinomycetota; Actinomycetes; Micrococcales; Brevibacteriaceae. The record is from RNAcentral.
GAACGCUGAAGCCCCAGCUUGCUGGGCUCGGAUGAGUGGCGAACGGUGUGAGUNACACGUGAGUNNCCUGCCCCCGACUUCGGGAUAAGCCCGGGAAACUGGGUCUAAUACCGAAUAUGACCAACGCUCGCAUGAGUGUUGGUGGAAAGUUUUUUCGGUUGGGGAUGGGCUCGCGGCCUAUCAGUUUGUUGGUGAGGUAAUGGCUCACCAAGACGACGACGGGUAGCCGGCCUGAGAGGGCGACCGGCCACACUGGGACUGAGACACGGCCCAGACUCCUACGGGAGGCAGCAGUGGGGAAUAUUGCACAAUGGGGGAAACCCUGAUGCAGCGACGCAGCGUGCGGGAUGACGGCCUUCGGGUUGUAAACCGCUUUCAGCAGGGAAGAAGCCACCUUUGGUGUGACGGUACCUGCAGAAGAAGUACCGGCUAACUACGUGCCAGCAGCCGCGGUAAUACGUAGGGUACAAGCGUUGUCCGGAAUUAUUGGGCGUAAAGAGCUCGUAGGUGGUUGGUCACGUCUGCUGUGGAAACGCAACGCUUAACGUUGCGCGUGCAGUGGGUACGGGCUGACUAGAGUGCAGUAGGGGAGUCUGGAAUUCCUGGUGUAGCGGUGAAAUGCGCAGAUAUCAGGAGGAA